Molecule: long non-coding RNA, 810 nt
Filed under: Salvator merianae (Argentine black and white tegu)
Lineage: Eukaryota; Metazoa; Chordata; Lepidosauria; Squamata; Teiidae
Description: lncRNA (ENSSMRG00000014265.1)
Source: RNAcentral
GAAACAUGCCAAUCCAGCCCCGAAUGACGGACAGGGCACGUUGGCUUCUGAUGGGGUAAUUUGCCAGAGCUUCAAACUGCUGUAUAUCACAGAUGGCAGCAAAGUUAGCAGACGGGAGCGGAGAGAGAGAAGGAUGCCGUUCGGAAAGGAAAGAGGCAACGGGGUUGCGGAGGAUCAAAGUCCAUCGGUCCUUAGGCUCAGAAGAUGCUCCGCUAGUUUCUGAAUCCUCUGUGGUUCNGCAGCCAAGACUUGGGCUUGGAUUAUUACUUCUCUGGGACCCAGCAACUGAUCGUGCUUAUUUUGACCACAUGCUUCUCUUCUCCUUUGGAUUAAUCACCAUCUUUCUAGAGUUUACAGACAGGAGACAGAGAGAGGAGAGAGGCAGAGAAAUGCAGCAGAGUGAUCCAGGCUGCCCUGCCAUUCUGGCUGCAUCCACACGGCCGUGAUCUGGACCAUCUCGGGGGCAGAACACAUGGGUUCCCUCUUUUGAGGAGUUCUGUGAUUCAACGGCCAGGAAUAGGGCAUCNUCAGUGGUGGGCCCCCAACUGUGGGACAGCCUUCCCAAUGAGAUUUGAAAAACAGCCACGUCUGAUUUAUAUCUUCUUUUGCAGGUCUUCAAGGAGUAGCUUAGGACCCAGUAUUUUGAUUUUUCUGAAGUCGCUGUGUACCUAGACUCCCCCCCCCCUUGCUUUUACUUUUACAUGUUAUAUUUGCAUUUUUUAAAAAAAUCUAUUUUUAUCUUCUAUUUUUGUUUCAUUUGGUUGUGUGUUUUUUUAAACUAUACACAGCCCUGAGUCUGUGGUACUGGUC